Long non-coding RNA from Ictalurus punctatus (channel catfish), 1840 nucleotides. Lineage: Eukaryota; Metazoa; Chordata; Actinopteri; Siluriformes; Ictaluridae. The record is from Ensembl.
GUAGGGUCUAGGGUCUCUCUUUUCUAGCGGUUAGGUCCUUAUCUGCUUUUGAGCUAUUUCUACCUCGAGCAACAGACUUUUCUCUUGUCAGGGAUGCGUGAGCAUUCUUUUUUUUCCAGUUUCAUUUUUAUUGAACAUUUCUACUGAACAUUUCUGCUAAACAUUUCUGUUGAACUGAACAUUUCUGCUGAACAUUUCUGUAGAAUAUUUCUACUGAACAUUUCUGCUGAACAUUUCUGCUGAACAUUUCUGCUAAACAUUUCUGUUGAACUGAACAUUUCUGCUGAACAUUUCUGUAGAAUAUUUCUACUGAACAUUUCUGCUGAACAUUUCUGCUGAACAUUUCUGCUAAACAUUUCUGUUGAACUGAACAUUUCUGCUGAACAUUUCUGUAGAAUAUUUCUACUGAACAUUUCUGUUGAACAUUUCUGCUGAACUAAACAUUACUACUGAACAUUUCUGCUGAACAUUACUACUGAACAUUUCUGCUGAACAUUUCUGUAGAAUAUUUCUGCUGAACAUUUCUACUGAACAUUUCUGCUGAACUGAAUAUUUCUGCUGAACUAAACAUUUCUGCUGAACAUUUCUACUGAACAUUACUGCUGAACAUUUCUGCUGAACUAAACAUUUCUGCUGAACAUUUCUACUGAACAUUACUGCUGAAUAUUUCUGCUGAACUUAACAUUACUGCUGAACAUUUCUGUAGAAUAUUUCUGCUGAACAUUUCUGCUGAACACUUCUGCUGAACUGAACAUUACUGCUGAACAUUUCUGUAGAAUAUUUCUGCUGAACAUUUCUGCUGAACUGAACAUUACUGCUGAACAUUUCUGUAGAAUAUUUCUGCUGAACUGAACAUUUCUGCUGAACAUUUCUACUGAACUUAACAUUACUGCUGAACAUUUCUGCUGAACUAAACAUUACUGCUGAACAUUUCUGCUGAACAUUACUGCUGAACAUUUCUGCUGAACUGAACAUUACUGCUGAACAUUUCUGUAGAAUAUUUCUGCUGAACAUUUCUGUAGAAUAUUUCUGUAGAAUAUUUCUGCUGAACUGAACAUUUCUGCUGAACUGAACAUUUCUGCUGAACAUUUCUGCUGAACUGAACAUUUCUGCUGAACAUUUCUGCUGAACAUUUCUGCUGAACUAAACAUUACUGCUGAACAUUUCUGUAGAAUAUUUCUACUGAACAUUACUGCUGAACAUUUCUGCUGAACUAAACAUUUCUGCUGAAAAUUUCCGCUGAACACAUCUACCAAACAUGUCUGCUGAACAUCACCUUUUCUCUUCUCUCCUCCACUCCCUUUCCCAAAUAUUCCAUUGAGAAGAAAAAGGAAAACAAAUUGAGCAACACACAGCAGUAAACAUUCAGAGUUUUUUUUCUUUUUAUACUAAGGAAAACAAAAUUAAAAGUGAGCAUUCUAAUGCGUAUCUGCACGGUGCAGUUGUACCCCUUUUUAGUUGGCCAUCUCUUCUAUCUUUGCUCCUUGUGCUUGUAACUUAUUCUAUAUUUUACGCGCUCUUCUAAAUUAGACAUAUGGUCAGUCAUCAACCCUGGGCCUUCCGAGGCGAACCCUGGAUCUCCAAAGACAGUUGAUACACACGAAACCCACUCUCACACUUUCCCCACAUUUCUGCAGGUGUUCCUCCUAUAAGUGCAUUGCAAACUUCACAAUGGCCUUUAUGUUAAUAAUAGUAAUGUGCUCAAUACACACACUGUGAAACUUUAUUCUGUAAAAGCAAAGAGAAAUGUUUAUUUUUUUUAUUAAUGUUAAACGUUAAAAACCUAAAUUUCAUGUGUGUGUGUGUGUGUUUGUGUGUGUGAAAUUUUCCCCUGCGCCUG